Molecule: ribosomal RNA, 237 nt
Filed under: uncultured bacterium
Lineage: Bacteria
Description: partial 16S ribosomal RNA
Rfam family: Bacterial small subunit ribosomal RNA
Source: RNAcentral
CGUAGGUAAUCUACCUUCGGGUGGGGGAAUAACAAUCGGAAACGGUUGCUAAUACCGCAUAAUGCAGCGGCACCUAAUGGUGACAGUUGUUAAAGCGGGGUUAGUCGCAAGACCCUCGCGCCUGAAGAGGAGCCCGCGGCGGAUUAGCUAGUUGGCAGGGUAACGGCCUACCAAGGCGACGAUCCGUAGCCGGCCUGAGAGGGCGGUCGGCCACACUGGCACUGACAUACGGGCCAG